RNAcentral lists this ribosomal RNA (807 nucleotides) under uncultured organism. RNAcentral describes it as "bacterial SSU rRNA". It matches the Rfam family "Bacterial small subunit ribosomal RNA", at positions 42 to 866 of the family's 1533-position model. The record is from RNAcentral.
GCGCGCUUAACGCAUGCAAGUCGAGCGAUGAGGUUCCCUUCGGGGAGUACAUCAGCGGCAGACGGGUGAGUAACACGUAGGUAACCUGCCCUCAAGACGGGGAUAACGCCUGGAAACGGGCGCUAAUACCGGAUGACCUUAGUUGGGGAAGAUCCGAUUAAGGAAAGGCUAUGGCGCUUGAGGAGGGGCCUGCGGCCCAUCAGUUAGUUGGUAGGGUAACGGCCUACCAAGGCGAAGACGGGUAGGGGGUGUGAGAGCACGGCCCCCCACACUGGGACUGAGACACGGCCCAGACUCCUACGGGAGGCAGCAGCGGGGAAUAUUGCGCAAUGGACGGAAGUCAGACGCAGCGACGCCGCGUGGGUGAAGAAGGCCUUCGGGUUGUAAAGCCCUUUUCUGAGGGAAGAGAAAGGACGGUACCUUAGGAAUAAGCGUCGGCUAACUACGUGCCAGCAGCCGCGGUAAGACGUAGGACGCGAGCGUUAUCCGGAUUUACUGGGCGUAAAGCGUGUGUAGGCGGCGUGACAAGUUGGGCGUGAAAGCCCCGUGCUCAACGCGGGGAGGCCGCACAAUACUGUCAGGCUAGAGGGCACCAGAGGGGUGUGGAAUUCCCGGAGUAGCGGUAAAAUGCGCAGAUAUCGGGAGGAACACCGGUGGCGAAAGCGGGCACCCUGGGGUGCGCCUGACGCUGAGAGACGACAGCUAGGGGAGCGAACAGGAUUAGAGACCCUGGUAGUCCUAGCCGUAAACGAUGGAUGCUAGGUGUAGGAGUGAAGAGCUUCUGUGCCGCAGCGAACGCGAUAAGCA